This 72-nucleotide transfer RNA is filed under the name Marmota monax (woodchuck). RNAcentral's name for it is "tRNA.Undet". The record is from RNAcentral. Lineage: Eukaryota; Metazoa; Chordata; Mammalia; Rodentia; Sciuridae.
GGCAUGCGUGGCUCAGUGGCGAGCUCUCACCCAGCGCGCACCAGGCCCUGGGUUCAAAACCCAGCGCUGCUA